Myotis davidii is the source of this 972-nucleotide long non-coding RNA. RefSeq lists it as uncharacterized. The record is from RefSeq and is a predicted model, not a curated record. The transcript has 3 exons. NCBI's taxonomy places the organism in Eukaryota, Metazoa, Chordata, Mammalia, Chiroptera, Vespertilionidae.
UCCUCUCUCUUUCUUUUCCUUAUGAGUCUGUGGUAGGUAUUUAAAAGGCCCUGUUAUUCCCCAAUUUCGUCAUCUUUCCUUCCUGCUCAAUCUGGGUAGCAAUGUGCUUUGUGAAAAACACUUGAUGUCCCAACUGUCUUGCAGCUCAGGGUGGCCAGUAUACAGAGUUCUGACCAAUAAAAUGAACCCCCUGGGAAGGGUCCAUUUUAAAAUAAUAAAAUGAAUUACUGCUCCACGUUUGUGCUAUGCUACUAUUUUAUAUAUUUCUCCCCAUCUCUGCUUGGAGGACAGGAGCCGUUGGACUUGUGGCAGCUGGAUUUUGACCAUGAAGAGGACACGUACUCCAUGUGGACAGUGGAGCAGGAGGAUGUGAGACGCACGUCCUUGAUCCCCAGCUGCUGGUGGCUGGGAUGCUGGGGUCCUGGUGUUGGCUGCAAGCAGUGUGACACCUGGACUGGGAGGGUUGGCAUCUUCCCCUCUGACAGGAGCCGUUGGACUUGUGGCAGCUGGAUUUUGACCGUGAAGAGGACAUGUACUCCAUGUGGACAGUGGAGCAGGAGGAUGUGAGAAGCCUGUCCGUGAGGCCCAGGUUGAGCCAUGUCACCCACCUCCCAGGCUGCCCAGGACAGAUACUUGUGACUUGGGAAAAACAUGCUCCUUACUUUCUGUAGCCACUGGUGGCUGGGAUGCUGGGGUCCUGGUAUUAUCUGAAAGCAGUGUGACACCUGGACUGGGAGGGUUGGCAUCUUCCCCUCUGACAGGUACAAACUGCAAUCCCAGGGAAGUCCUGGUUUUGCUUCACUCAGGAGUCAGAAGCCACGUGUGUCCACGUCUAAAAAGUACCUGUACUUGUUUUUUGUGAAUGUCCUUUUUUUGUCACCUGUUUUGGGAAAUGCAAUAGCUGGCCCAUUUAUUUCUGUAGAAAUUUAGGGUUUAUUUUUAAAUUUGGGAUAUUAGCUCUUUGUCUGAAGC